AAAAGGACGCCUGGAAAGGUUUCCAAGACUCGGUUGGAACUUGAAACUUAAAUUCUGACAAAGUAAUAAAUAUCCCUCCUUGCCUCCUGUUUUUUAAUUUUCUUUUUCUAUCGGUCUAAAAAAGCCGUCUAGGGAGUAAAGAUCACUAUGUCCAUACGUGCCCAAACAAGCUCUCCAUUUAAACCUCUCCUUGACUCCCCUCCCUCAAAUCCCCCAAAACCCCAAAUCACCUCUCCCCACCUCUCUCUCGAUUAAGUCCACAAGUAUGUGCCAGUUAUCUUCACCUUCUCAUUCUUGCAAAUGCAAAAUGGACCCAUCAUCCAAAGUACAGGAAUCUGACAGGCUAAUAACCGCUUUGAUCCCCAAGGACCCAACAUUUGAAAAUCAACAGAGGACUCACCUCGCUCUUGCAAUCAGAGAGGCAAGAUGCAUAGCCAACAUAGCACUUCCAAUGAUAUUAACUGGUCUUUUACUAUAUUCUCGCUCCAUGAUCUCCAUGCUCUUUCUCGGUCGCCAAGGAGAACUGGCUUUAGCAGGUGGCUCACUGGCAAUUGGGUUUGCUAACAUCACUGGCUACUCUAUUCUCUCCGGUCUUUCCAUGGGAAUGGAACCCAUUUGUGGACAGGCUUUUGGUGCCAAAAGAUACAAACUUCUUGGCCUCGCCUUGCAAAGAACAAUUCUUUUGCUUUUUCUAGUUUCCAUCCCUAUUGCUUUAUUGUGGUUCAACAUGAAAAAGAUCCUUCUCUUUUGUGGUCAAGAAGAUGAUAUUUCCACGGAAGCACAACUCUACAUUCUUUACUCUCUCCCUGACCUUGUUGCUCAAUCCAUUUUGCAUCCUUUGCGUAUAUAUCUCAGGAGUCAGUCAAUUACUCUGCCUCUAACAUUUUGUGCAACCCUUUCUAUUCUUCUUCACAUACCUGUUAACUACCUUCUUGUCUCCGUAUUCAAUCUUGGAAUCAAAGGCGUUGCGUUAAGCGCAGUUUGGACUAACUUCAGUCUUGUAGGAUCAUUGGUCAUUUACGUUAUGAUCUCUGGCGUGUACAAGAAAACUUGGGGUGGGAUAUCAUUGGAAUGCUUAAAAGGGUGGAGAUCUUUAUUGAAUUUGGCAAUUCCAAGCUGCAUUUCGGUUUGCCUUGAAUGGUGGUGGUAUGAGAUCAUGAUUUUACUCUGUGGGCUAUUGUUAAAUCCAACAGCUACCGUUGCUUCAAUGGGAAUCUUAAUUCAAACCACAGCUUUUAUAUACAUUUUCCCAUCUUCUUUAAGCUUUGGUGUGUCAACAAGAGUUGGCAAUGAACUAGGUGCUAAUAAUCCUCAAAAGGCCAAGCUUGCUGCUACUGUUGGUCUCUCUUCAAGCUUUGUCUUGGGAUUUGCAGCAUUGUGUUUUGCUGUCAUGGUGAGGAAGAUUUGGGCUAGCAUGUUCACUCAAGAUGCAGAGAUUAUUGCAUUGACAUCAAUGGUUUUGCCUAUAAUUGGCCUUUGUGAGCUUGGAAAUUGCCCGCAAACAACAGGUUGUGGUGUUUUGAGAGGCACGGCAAGGCCUAAAAUGGGUGCGAAUAUUAAUCUGGGAUGCUUUUACCUUGUGGGCAUGCCUGUUGCUGUUUGGUUGAGUUUUUAUGCUGGCUUUGAUUUCAAAGGACUCUGGUUGGGUUUGUUAGCUGCCCAGGGCUCAUGUGUCGUGACCAUGUUGUUCGUUCUGGCUAGAACAGAUUGGGAAUGCCAAGCCCAGAGAGCCAAGGAACUAACUGGAAAUGUAUCUAACGAUGCUGACCACAACGAAGAGGAUUGGAAGUUGAAAGAUCCCAAGAAUUCAUCCAGCUCAUUAGAUGGUAAUGAGUCAUUGGUUUGAUUGGUAACCGAUGUGAUGGUGCCACAUAUAUAUUUUCUCACGAAUUUCAAUUGGUGUUCUUGCCAUCACAUUGUCUCCCGUAAACCCCUGCGAGGAUGAUGAGUGUGUUCUUUGGGAAAGGAGGCUGGCGCAUAACAAAUUUCCUAUUCAGGAAGGAUCCCAGCUGGAAUCUAAAACUUGAGAUUCCAGUGUGGAGUGUACGCCCACAAGCAGUUCAUCGCAUGGGGUAGAGAAGCCAAGGAGUUUGACCGGCCAAACUUUAUGGCUGCCGACUCCAAAGACGACUCUUCUCUCACCAUGCCCCCACUCUUUGGAUCGGGUCACCAGGACCCUCUCCUUCUUUUUUUAGCUUCCUCUGAAUAAUUCCGUAUUGUUUUUUUUUUUUCUGAGCAGAUUUGUGCAUUCUCAUUUAUUUUAAUUUUGCAUAUAACACACAAUGUUAGAACCAAUCUGACUAAUGAAA
This is an RNA transcript of Populus euphratica (Euphrates poplar), 2309 nucleotides long. It is a transcript of the gene named MATE efflux family protein LAL5-like, with no coding region annotated. Lineage: Eukaryota; Viridiplantae; Streptophyta; Magnoliopsida; Malpighiales; Salicaceae. The transcript has 2 exons. The record is from RefSeq and is a predicted model, not a curated record.